UCCCGGUUAACCCGGGCAGUCUCACUAGAGUUCCCACCAUCACGUGUUGGCAACUAGGGAUAAGGGUUGCGCUCGUUGCGGGACUUAACCCAACACCUCACGGCACGAGCUGACGACAGCCAUGCAGCACCUGUGCAAAGGCCCCGAGGGGAGGCUGCAUUUCUGCAGCGGUCCUUUGCAUGUCAAACCUGGGUAAGGUUCUUCGCGUUGCAUCGAAUUAAACCACAUGCUCCACUGCUUGUGCGGGUCCCCGUCAAUUCUUUUGAGUUUCAGCCUUGCGACUGUACUCCCCAGGCGGUAUACUUAACGCGUUAGCUCCGGCACAGCUGGGGUUGAUUCCAGCUACACCAAGUAUACAUCGUUUACAGCAAGGACUAC
This 378-nucleotide unclassified non-coding RNA is filed under the name uncultured Parachlamydiaceae bacterium. Its description in RNAcentral is "contains 16S-23S intergenic spacer region". The record is from RNAcentral. Lineage: Bacteria; Pseudomonadati; Chlamydiota; Chlamydiia; Parachlamydiales; Parachlamydiaceae.